Molecule: transfer RNA, 85 nt
Filed under: Acidobacteriota bacterium
Lineage: Bacteria; Pseudomonadati; Acidobacteriota
Description: Acidobacteria bacterium (hot springs metagenome) tRNA-Leu
Rfam family: tRNA
About the family: Transfer RNA (tRNA) molecules are approximately 80 nucleotides in length. Their secondary structure includes four short double-helical elements and three loops (D, anti-codon, and T loops). Further hydrogen bonds mediate the characteristic L-shaped molecular structure. tRNAs have two regions of fundamental functional importance: the anti-codon, which is responsible for specific mRNA codon recognition, and the 3' end, to which the tRNAs corresponding amino acid is attached (by aminoacyl-tRNA synthetases). tRNAs cope with the degeneracy of the genetic code in two manners: having more than one tRNA (with a specific anti-codon) for a particular amino acid; and 'wobble' base-pairing, i.e. permitting non-standard base-pairing at the 3rd anti-codon position.
Source: RNAcentral
GCGGGCGUGGCGGAACCGGUAGACGCGCGGGUCUCAAAAACCCGUUCCGCAAGGAGUGCCGGUUCGAUUCCGGCCGCCCGCACCA